This is a long non-coding RNA of Choloepus didactylus (southern two-toed sloth), 1657 nucleotides long. RefSeq lists it as uncharacterized. The transcript is spliced from 2 exons. The record is from RefSeq and is a predicted model, not a curated record. Lineage: Eukaryota; Metazoa; Chordata; Mammalia; Pilosa; Megalonychidae.
GGGACCAUGGACAUUUUAGGUGCCUGAAUUCUGCUGAUAUUUAAUGGAGAUGGUUUGCCUGGUUGCUUAUUCCAGGGCCCUUGAUGGGAAGGGAGCAGGCUGUGCAGAGGCCUUACCUUGGGACCGCAGCAUCCUCGGGUUCAUCUGCAGAGCAGCUCUCAGGUGCGGCUCCAGCUGCUUGACCUUGCAGACCAGCUUCCCCAGCUGACAGUUUGCCCUAAUGUCAUCCUUCUGAGAGACGAAAGAGCAGAGAGGACACAAAAAACUCUCUCCGUGGGCGUCCACCUGCAGGAAAGUGACGCAGUGGUGGCAGCAGAUGUAUCUACACUUUAAGUACACGGGUUUCUUAAAAUAGGCCUCACACACAGGACAGCUGCUGGCUUCUCCAAAGUGCUCUGCCAUGUCUCCUGCAGGAGAAAGAGUGAGGAUAUUAAUUACUUCAUGUGUCAUAUAAAUGUCAUAAUUUAUAGAAUGGAGAUUCCAUGAAAUGAAUAUACUGAGGCUUUUUCACCUCUAUGUGCAUAGAGCUAUUGUCCCUGGAACUAGGGAGUAAGCAUGCAAAUAUGAAGACUCAUGGCCCUGAAAUGCCAGGUGGAACGAGGAACACAAUUCACCAUUCAAGCUUGAGUUGAAGUGGUGAAAGGGUCUAGAGCUGAACUCUCCAUGGGGGCUACUCAUCUCCUGCAAUGGCACUUGUCUGAAUUGAGAUGUGCUGUGAGCAUCAAGUACACACUGAGUUCAAAGACAUCCUGAGAAAAAGGGAAUGUAAGCUGUCUCACUGGUUACUGUGUUAAAAGAAAUAAAACAAAUUGGAGCUACUAUGUCUAAGAGAUUUAACAUGGAGCAGGAGAUCACUCUGGAGGUGACCCUUGUGCAGGGCCCAGCCAGGGAUCACAGGCUGCCACAGCAUGCAAAGCCUCAAGGAACAAGUUCCUCAAAACACCGAGGACAUCCGGACCAUAAAACAAACCACCGAUAAAGAACCCAGAAAAUGUAGAAUCCCAUGUGUGGCCACAUCAUCUUUCUACUGGACAACACUGGUCUGGGCUGGUGGACCCUCCAAUCCCUCCAGCUGGUGUGACCUGACUAGGAAAGAACCCACAACAGCCGCUGAGAGAUUGAAGUUUCAGUGGAAACUCAAUUCAUCUCUGGUAGACUAGCCCAAGCUAUUACUGGACUAAGGAAAAUGAGGAAUAUUCAUUUCUUCUGGCUGAUGUGGAAACCCCAGGUUCUGCCUGCUGCUCCUGGAGUUGGGGCCCGAGUGGCCGUGGGAGCUCACACCGUGUGUGGCACCGAGUUGUCUUCACACCACCCUUGCGCGAUUCAGGGAGUAUUAAUUCCCCAGACCUUGCUCCCUCACAUCUGCCCUUCAUAGGAAUCUGAGAAGUGAAAAAUAAAUCACAUAAAAUUGGACUCACUGUUCUCCAAGAGAGUCUCCUCUGGCCUCCAGCUGCUUCCCAAGGUUCUUGAGUGAAAUCAGCUGUCAAGGGCCUUUUGUACCAAGGGCCCUUCCUCUCUUCUCAUUUACAUCAGACCACGCCUCUUUAAUCCAAUCUUAUGUUGAUUUAAUUGUGGCAGUAAUAGGAUCUUAACAAUGAAAAAGAAAACCAUAAAUUGUUUCAUACCACAUUGUAAUUAAAGUUCAAAUUGAAAUGCA